This 492-nucleotide ribosomal RNA is filed under the name uncultured bacterium. Its description in RNAcentral is "partial 16S ribosomal RNA". It matches the Rfam family "Bacterial small subunit ribosomal RNA", at positions 29 to 507 of the family's 1533-position model. The record is from RNAcentral.
AGUGAACGCUGGCGGUAGGCCUAACACAUGCAAGUCGAACGGCAGCACAGUAAGAGCUUGCUCUUACGGGUGGCGAGUGGCGGACGGGUGAGGAAUUCAUCGGAAUCUACUUUUUCGUGGGGGAUAACGUAGGGAAACUUACGCUAAUACCGCAUACGACCUACGGGUGAAAGCAGGGGAUCUUCGGACCUUGCGCGAUUGAAUGAGCCGAUGUCGGAUUAGCUAGUUGGCGGGGUAAAGGCCCACCAAGGCGACGAUCCGUAGCUGGUCUGAGAGGAUGAUCAGCCACACUGGAACUGAGACACGGUCCAGACUCCUACGGGAGGCAGCAGUGGGGAAUAUUGGACAAUGGGCGCAAGCCUGAUCCAGCCAUACCGCGUGGGUGAAGAAGGCCUUCGGGUUGUAAAGCCCUUUUGUUGGGAAAGAAAAGCAGCAGGUUAAUACCCCGCUGUUCUGACGGUACCCAAAGAAUAAGCACCGGCUAACUUCGUG